UAUUCUCUUCUUCCUCCUCCCAAAACCCUUUUCUAUUCUCUCUUUCAACACAAGAGUUUGACAGAUAAAGUCAAUUUUUUCCAGUUUCCUUCGAAGUUUUCACGGUAGAGACCGAAAGAAACAUAGUCGGUGAUUUUCCGGUAAUUGGCCGAGCUUCAUUGCACGGUAGGCCUCAACCUACUAAGUGGAGACUAAGGAAUCUCAUGAUGGUGACGGAUCUCCGACGGUGUAGAUCGACGCAGUUAAGCUUUUUAACUGGAUUCGUAGGUGGGUGAUUGGGGAUUUCACCUGUAUGCAUCUUGAAAGAAGCGGAUUUGAAGGUGAAAGCAUACUUUAUUGGUGAACAGAGAAAGAGCUGUUAGUUACUUGAAUUCUUUGGGAAGUGAAAAGUGGAUGACAUGUAACAAUAUCUCAUCAUAUUUGUUAAUGACAACAUUGCAUUGGAAGAAAUAGAACUUCAGUUUUGAAGUAAUUUUCUGCAACAAAAUUUUUGUUCAACAUUAUUUCAAUCUCAUUGGUUGAUUAUCUCAAUGCUUCACAAUGCAAAUUGGAGUUGCAAGCAUAUAAGCAUGAUGUCUCAGGUUGAAGAAUCAUGAAUUCAUGAUGAUGUGGAAGUUGGCAUGUAAAGGUCACCAUCCUCGAAAAGAACAUGUGGAUGGUGUUUCCAUGGUACAUGUAGGACAUGAUUUACUGUGGUAAUGUUAUGUUUAUGAUGCGUUUAAUUUUUGAGCUGACAUAGGACUCAGACAAUGUGAUAUAAUUCAUGCCCAGAGGUGAAGAUUAAGUCGUUCACCACGUAAGGGAUGGGUUGUAUGUGUCGUUGAACAUGCCCGUGUUCGAGAUAUAGGAUGUGAAUUUGUGGUUUGAGUAUGACACUUUGAUAAUAGAAGGGAAAUGGGAGAAUGAGCAUUAUAUUGCUGGGAUACGUGUACCAGAGGGCUUCCACAAGGAUCAUCAUAUGAUCAAGAGGGAGAUGUUGGAUGGAGGGCUUCCUAUGAAAACAACGGUUCGUUCCGUGUAAAUCGCUACAUGAUUAACACAUACAACUGCUAGCUAUAGAUAUUAUAAUGUUAGUUCUAAAGCUAAGAAACAAUGAAUCAGUGACUUUAGUAGCUAUAGGUAGAUAUUAAAUGAAUGUGGCUAUCAACUCAUAUUGUGAUUUGAUAAGAGUUAUUAGGGUCCUGGUGAACCUAACCAUAAUAAAAAGGGUUAUUGGAUUAUUGG
RNAcentral lists this long non-coding RNA (1224 nucleotides) under Helianthus annuus (common sunflower). RNAcentral's name for it is "hypothetical non coding rna". The record is from RNAcentral. Lineage: Eukaryota; Viridiplantae; Streptophyta; Magnoliopsida; Asterales; Asteraceae.